GAUUUAGCUUUAUGUUCACACAGAGCACAGAGCUGUACCCUGGAGAGGAACAAACCUGGCAGGAGCUUCAAGUGAAAAGUAUUUUCUGGAAACAGAGGAUGCUAAACCACAAGGGCCACCUAAGAUGAAUCUCUGGUCAAGACAAGUCAAUUUUGACCUGGUGAAGGCACAGUGAAGUUGAUGGCAUUACUCUGAAGUGAAACCAUUGCAAAGAGUUGUAAGGCCAGGCUGCAGUAAUGUGAUGACUGGAAAAUAGCUCAAGUGGAAAUAAAAAAAGGACAUUGGAAACA
Molecule: long non-coding RNA, 290 nt
Filed under: Cyanistes caeruleus (blue tit)
Lineage: Eukaryota; Metazoa; Chordata; Aves; Passeriformes; Paridae
Description: lncRNA (ENSCCEG00000019490.1)
Source: RNAcentral